This 48-nucleotide non-coding RNA is filed under the name Schistosoma mansoni. The record is from RNAcentral. Lineage: Eukaryota; Metazoa; Platyhelminthes; Trematoda; Strigeidida; Schistosomatidae.
AUCCAGCUGACGAGUCCCAAAUAGGACGAAGUGGCGCGCAUCAUGGAU